Long non-coding RNA from Gadus macrocephalus (Pacific cod), 1055 nucleotides. RefSeq lists it as uncharacterized. The record is from RefSeq and is a predicted model, not a curated record. The transcript is spliced from 2 exons. Lineage: Eukaryota; Metazoa; Chordata; Actinopteri; Gadiformes; Gadidae.
GCGUUUUUUCUGAAGAAAGAAGUCCAAUCCUUGGUCGCUUUUAACUCAUUUUAUUAGUUAAAGUAGGCAUAUUUCGGUUUGGUAACUAUGAAGCAUAUUGGAGGGAAUUGUAUCUAACGCGUAUUGAAAAUAAUAUCGAGUACCACUCUCGGCCGGGCUACCUAUUGAUUCUGGCCUCUCAAUCAGAAUUCCGAGCUGUGAUCGUCAAGUGGGCGUGGCCUAUAUGGAGUGGGCGUGGCCGGUGUGACUAAUGGCUCCGCCAUCCUCACCUGUCUAAAGGUGCUGCCAUCUGUGGCUGGAGUAGGUAAUGCAGCUUGUGUGUUCGAUCCUGCUUCCUAGUGGCUAUGUGGGGGCAGUUUAUGUGCUUAAAAUACGUAACAGUGGAAACUCUGGCAGUCUUUCUGAAUCGUUCGAGAAACUCACAUGCAUUUAUGGAUGCAGCGAUUCACCCUCCAAAGGUGAUUUCAAGUACGGGGUCGAUAUAAGCAGUGGUAGUAGUUAACUUGUCAAAUGAUGUCAAACUGUUUGCUUGACCACGUGUAGCAGAAGAGAAUAGAUUUCAGAUGCAUUAUCUUGUAUCCGUGAAGCAAGCCCUAUUGGUUCAACUGAUCCUGGAGAAACGCCAAUGUCCAUCAGAUCUUGAGGCGCUUUCCGUCUGAACAACCCCACAUUUCUGAAGUGGACAAACAUCAUCAAUAUCACUGAUGGACUACCUCCCAAAGUCUAUACUCUGCAGGUGGUGCCUGUUUUAUUCUAUAAAAUCGAGCUCUCAAGUGAAUGACAGCUGCUGCAUUUUGAGGUAUCUCAUUAUUUCCAAAAAACCAAAGCAUAAAAAACUUCUCUCGAAAUUCUGAGAUAAUAAGGUCUUUAAUUCAGAAAUACAGGAGCAGAAUUUAUUUUCUUAAGCAAUGCAUUAUACUUCCGUAUAUCUGUCUUGGACAUUUUCACUCAAACAGGGUAGUCAAUUUAUUAAUGCCUCUGAUCUAUGCACAUAGAUCAGAUAUAGAAAAGGGUUAGACUAUUGGUUAGCACUUGCCACUUGAGGAAAUGUUGAG